This 1484-nucleotide ribosomal RNA is filed under the name uncultured bacterium. RNAcentral's name for it is "bacterial SSU rRNA". It matches the Rfam family "Bacterial small subunit ribosomal RNA". The record is from RNAcentral.
AGAGUUUGAUCCUGGCUCAGGAUGAACGCUAGCGGCAGGCUUAACACAUGCAAGUCGAGGGGCAGCACGGGUAGCAAUACUUGGUGGCGACCGGCGCACGGGUGAGUAACGCGUAUGCAACCUACCUUUAACAGGAGGAUAGCCCCGAGAAACCUGGAUUAAUACCCCAUAGUUCUGUUGAAUCGCAUGGUUUAACAGAUAAAGUUGAGGCGGUUAUGGAUGGGCAUGCGUGCCAUUAGGUAGUUGGUGAGGUAACGGCUCACCAAGCCAGCGAUGGCUACGGGGUCUAAAAGGAUGGCCCCCCACACUGGUACUGAGACACGGACCAGACUCCUACGGGAGGCAGCAGUGAGGAAUAUUGGUCAAUGGGCGAAAGCCUGAACCAGCCAUGCCGCGUGAAGGAAGACGGCCCUAUGGGUUGUAAACUGCUUUUAUAUGGGAGCAAUAAGACCUACGUGUAGGUUGAUGAGAGUACCGUAAGAAUAAGGAUCGGCUAACUCCGUGCCAGCAGCCGCGGUAAUACGGAGGAUCCAAGCGUUAUCCGGAUUUACUGGGUUUAAAGGGUGCGUAGGCGGAUUGAUAAGUCACGGUGAAAUAUUUCAGCUUAACUGCAGAACUGCCAUUGAUACUGCCAGUCUGGAGUAUGGUUGAGGUAGCUGGAAUGUGUCAUGUAGCGGUGAAAUGCUUAGAGAUGACACAGAACACCGACGGCGAAGGCAGGUUACCAACCCAUUACUGACGCUGAGGCACGAAAGCGUGGGGAUCAAACAGGAUUAGAUACCCUGGUAGUCCACGCCGUAAACGAUGAUCACUCGCUGUUUGCGAUAUACAGCAAGCGGCUGAGCGAAAGCAUUAAGUGAUCCACCUGGGGAGUACGAUCGCAAGGUUGAAACUCAAAGAAUUGACGGGGACCCGCACAAGCAGCGGAGCAUGUGGUUUAAUUCGAAGCAACGCGAAGAACCUUACCAGGUCUUGACAUCCCUCUGAAUGGCGCUUAGCAGCGCAGGUCUUUCGGGACAGAGGAGACAGGUGGUGCAUGGUUGUCGUCAGCUCGUGUCGUGAGAUGUUGGGUUAAGUCCCGCAACGAGCGCAACCCUUGCCUUUAGUUGCCAGCACAUAAUGGUGGGCACUCUAGAGAGACUGCCGGUGACAAACCGGAGGAAGGUGGGGAUGACGUCAAAUCAUCAUGCCCCUUAUGGCCUGGGCUACAAACGUAAUACAAUGGCGUAUACAAAGGGAUGCGAAAGGGCGACCUGGAGCAAAACUCACAAAGUACGUCUCAGUUCAGAUUGGAGUCUGCAACUCGACUCCAUGAAGGCGGAUCGCUAGUAAUCGCGACCCAGCCAUGGCGCGGUGAAUACGUUCCCGGGCCUUGUACACACCGCCCGUCAAGCCAUGGAAGCUGGGGGUGCCUGAAGUUCGUGACCGCAAGGAGCGACCUAGGGCAAAACUAGUAACUGGGGCUAAGUCGUAACAAGGUAACC